RNAcentral lists this ribosomal RNA (461 nucleotides) under uncultured bacterium. RNAcentral's name for it is "partial 16S ribosomal RNA". It matches the Rfam family "Bacterial small subunit ribosomal RNA", at positions 355 to 811 of the family's 1533-position model. The record is from RNAcentral.
UAGGGAAUCUUCCACAAUGGACGCAAGUCUGAUGGAGCAACGCCGCGUGAGUGAAGAAGUCUUCGGAUCGUAAAGCUCUGUUGUUGGUGAAGAAGGAUAGAGGCAGUAACUGGUCUUUAUUUGACGGUAAUCAACCAGAAAGUCACGGCUAACUACGUGCCAGCAGCGCGUAAUACGUAGGUGGCAAGCGUUGUCCGGAUUUAUUGGGCGUAAAGCGAGCGCAGGCGGAAUGAUAAGUCUGAUGUGAAAGCCCACGGCUCAACCGUGGAACUGCAUCGGAAACUGUCAUUCUUGAGUGCAGAAGAGGAGAGUGGAACUCCAUGUGUAGCGGUGAAAUGCGUAGAUAUAUGGAAGAACACCAGUGGCGAAGGCGGCUCUCUGGUCUGUAACUGACGCUGAGGCUCGAAAGCGUGGGUAGCAAACAGGAUUAGAUACCCUGGUAGUCCACGCCGUAAACGAUU